Molecule: ribosomal RNA, 465 nt
Filed under: uncultured bacterium
Lineage: Bacteria
Description: partial 16S ribosomal RNA
Rfam family: Bacterial small subunit ribosomal RNA
Source: RNAcentral
GACGAACGCUGGCGGCGUGCUUAACACAUGCAAGUCGAACGGAAAGGCCCUGCUUGCAGGGUACUCGAGUGGCGAACGGGUGAGUAACACGUGGGUGAUCUGCCCUGCACUUCGGGAUAAGCCUGGGAAACUGGGUCUAAUACCGGAUAGGAGCCAUUUUUAGUGUGAUGGUUGGAAAGUUUUUUCGGUGUAGGAUGAGCUCGCGGCCUAUCAGCCUGUUGGUGGGGUAAUGGCCUACCAAGGCGGCGACGGGUAGCCGGCCUGAGAGGGUGGACGGCCACAUUGGGACUGAGAUGCGGCCCAGACUCCUACGGGAGGCAGCAGUGGGGAAUAUUGCACAAUGGGCGCAAGCCUGAUGCAGCGACGCCGCGUGGGGGAUGACGGCCUUCGGGUUGUAAACUCCUUUCGCUAGGGACGAAGCUUUUUGUGACGGUACCUAGAUAAGAAGCACCGGCUAACUACGUG